AACGAACGCUAGCGGUGUGGAUUAGGCAUGCAAGUCGUGCGCGAAAGUCUUCGGACGAGUAAAGCGGCGAAAGGGUGAGUAACACGUAACCAACGUACCCCUUAGAUCGGAAUAACCUCUGGAAACGGUGGGUAAUGCCGAAUGGUCCGCCGGCAGGCAUCUGCUGGACGGUAAACGGUGGCUUCGGCUGCUGCUGAGGGAGCGGGUUGCGGCCUAUCAGCUUGUUGGUGGGGUAACGGCCUACCAAGGCGAUGACGGGUAGCGGGUCUGAGAGGAUGAUCCGUCACACUGGGACUGAGACACUGCCCAGACUCCUACGGGAGGCUGCAGUCGAGAAUCUUCCACAAUGGACGAAAGUCUGAUGGAGCGACACCGCGUGCAGGAUGAAGGCCUUAGGGUUGUAAACUGCUGUCACGCUAUAGGAACCCACGGUGGUAAAUAGUCAUCGUGCUGACUAAAGCGAGAGGAAGCGCCGGCUAACUCCG
This 485-nucleotide ribosomal RNA is filed under the name uncultured Planctomycetota bacterium. Its description in RNAcentral is "bacterial SSU rRNA". It matches the Rfam family "Bacterial small subunit ribosomal RNA", at positions 29 to 505 of the family's 1533-position model. The record is from RNAcentral. Lineage: Bacteria; Pseudomonadati; Planctomycetota.